RNAcentral lists this ribosomal RNA (468 nucleotides) under uncultured bacterium. RNAcentral describes it as "partial 16S ribosomal RNA". It matches the Rfam family "Bacterial small subunit ribosomal RNA", at positions 28 to 507 of the family's 1533-position model. The record is from RNAcentral.
GACGAACGCUGGCGGCGUGCUUAACACAUGCAAGUCGAACGGAAAGGCCCUGCUUUUGUGGGGUGCUCGAGUGGCGAACGGGUGAGUAACACGUGAGUAACCUGCCCUUGACUUUGGGAUAACUUCAGGAAACUGGGGCUAAUACCGGAUAGGAGCUCCUGCUGCAUGGUGGGGGUUGGAAAGUUUCGGCGGUUGGGGAUGGACUCGCGGGUUAUCAGCUUGUUGGUGGGGUAGUGGCUUACCAAGGCUUUGACGGGUAGCCGGCCUGAGAGGGUGACCGGCCACAUUGGGACUGGGAUACGGCCCAGACUCCUACGGGAGGCAGCAGUGGGAAAUAUUGCACAAUGGGCGGAAGCCUGAUGCAGCAACGCCGGGUGCGGGAUGACGGCCUUCGGGUUGUAAACCGCUUUCGCCUGUGACGAAGCGUGAGUGACGGUAAUGGGUAAAGAAGCACCGGCUAACUACGUG